CUGCCAUCUCCUUGGGCGGGGCUUCAGACGGCUUGGCUGGAGAGACUUCAGGGAGCUGGAGCUGGCAAGGAGAGCAAAGAAGAGCCCUGAGGAACCAGCCCCCAGCCCACAGGCAUCGCACUGGCAAAGGCCUGGUCUGGCGUCUUUGAGAGAGUUGGAUGCUUCCUGACCUUAGGUAUGCCGAGGGAAUUGUUAGAAUUUUCUAGUUGGAAAAAGGAAGUGGCACCAAAACUACGGCAGUGAAUAGGGAGAUGGCUCAACAGGGGCAUCCGGAUGUUGUAAAUGGUGAGAGUGUUUUAUGACCAGAGGGUUCUUUGUAUUUGUGGUCAUCUUGAGGUUUAAUUUUCUCCAUGUAGUUAGUUAAAUACUUAACACUGAGGGCAGGGGUGAGGAUGAGGUAACCAACAAAAAAGCCAAAGUGAAGCUAAUGUUGCAGCUUCUCUAAGCUAAUGUGGUCCAGUGGUGAAGAUUCUGUGCUUCCGAUGCCGGCGGUGCGGUUCGAUCCCUGGUGGGGAAAGUAAGAUCCCAUAUGCAACAUGGCCAAAAAAAGAGAAAGAGAACCAAAGCGAAGGUAACAGGUGUUUCCAUCCCCAGGGGGUGGAGGUCAGGGUGGUACAGGUUCCGAGAAUUAUGUUCUCUGGGCUCUGAUGGGGACAUAUGAGGAGACAGCAUGGCUGGCAGGCCUGGGUCUUGAGAGAAGUAAACAGCUACUUCCUGUUUCUGUGUCUUGUCUCAGCAGAAAUCUGUGCCUUUGGGAGAAAGCCAAGUCCGCACCUCUGGAGGCAGACCCUGACCGAAUGAAUUAGGGGCAGAAGGUGAGGCCUUAGGAAAGGGAAGGGGCACCAUCUAAGAGACUGGGGGGUUCUGUUUCCUUUAGUCCUCACUGCCCGGAGACAGACACUGUAAUUAACCCCCUUUCAUGGACAAGGAGCCUGGUGGGCUGCCGUCUAUGGGGUCGCACAGAGUUGGACAUGAGGGAAGCAACUUAGCAGCAGCAGCAGCAGCAUGGACAAGGAAGUGGGAAGUGGAAGAGUUUGCGCAGCUUAACACAGCUAUGUAAGUAGAUGAGCUCAGCUGAAGAAGAGGAAAAUCUGAAAGACUGCAGAAUACAUCAUAUUUAAAGGCAUUUGGUGAACAUCAAAAAGUAUCUAAGAUGUAAUACUAACUGAACAAACAUGUUAUAAAGCAGUAUAAGCUCAGUAUGACUCCAAAAGUAACAAAAAGUAGAUGCUUGUAUCCCUGGAAAAGGUUGACUGCUCCUAGGGGGAAGUGUACCAGCUGGCUGGCCCAUUCAUCCAUCCAUCAUCCAUCCAUCCAUCCAUUAUCUACCCAUCUACAUUCAUCUAUCCACCCAUCUAUACAUCCAUCCACGUAUCUACCAUCCAUCCAUUCAUAUCGAUCCACCAAGCCACCCCUCAACCCAUGCAUGCAACUACCCACCUAACCCAUCCACCCAUCCUCUAUAUCUAAUCUAUUCUAUCAUUUCUGCCUAUCUGUCUACGCUGGUGCUCUAAGCAGUUUUAUCUGCACCCAUGGGGAGCUACAGUGAACCAUCCUGAUUCCCACCUGAGGACCAAGGCAGGCAUGGACAGAGCUCUGCCCAGGCGCUGUAGACCAGCACCAAAUUACUUUCUUGGUCUGCUCCCCCACAUCAUGGAGCCUAAACUAGUGACCCUGGCUUCUCUAGAGCCAAACUCCCCCAAACAUAUGAACGGCAGCUGCAAAGAGGAGCGACCCCUUCUCUGUUGCUCAGCAGCCCUGUACGGCGAUGACAGGCUGGGUUCAAG
Molecule: long non-coding RNA, 1787 nt
Organism: Capra hircus (goat)
Lineage: Eukaryota; Metazoa; Chordata; Mammalia; Artiodactyla; Bovidae
Exons: 3
Source: RefSeq, a predicted model, not a curated record